CGGGGGGAAAGCUUACACAUGCAGUCGAGCGGGGGAGGUAGCUUGCUACUGGACCUAGCGGCGGACGGGUGAGUAAUGCUUAGGAAUCUGCCUAUUAGUGGGGGACAACAUCUCGAAAGGGAUGCUAAUACCGCAUACGUCCUACGGGAGAAAGCAGGGGAUCUUCGGACCUUGCGCUAAUAGAUGAGCCUAAGUCGGAUUAGCUAGUUGGUGGGGUAAAGGCCUACCAAGGCGACGAUCUGUAGCGGGUCUGAGAGGAUGAUCCGCCACACUGGGACUGAGACACGGCCCAGACUCCUACGGGAGGCAGCAGUGGGGAAUAUUGGACAAUGGGGGGAACCCUGAUCCAGCCAUGCCGCGUGUGUGAAGAAGGCCUUAUGGUUGUAAAGCACUUUAAGCGAGGAGGAGGCUACUUUAGUUAAUACCUAGAGAUAGUGGACGUUACUCGCAGAAUAAGCACCGGCUAACUCUGUGCCAGCAGCCGCGGUAAUACAGAGGGUGCGAGCGUUAAUCGGAUUUACUGGGCGUAAAGCGUGCGUAGGCGGCUUAUUAAGUCGGAUGUGAAAUCCCCGAGCUUAACUUGGGAAUUGCAUUCGAUACUGGUGAGCUAGAGUAUGGGAGAGGAUGGUAGAAUUCCAGGUGUAGCGGUGAAAUGCGUAGAGAUCUGGAGGAAUACCGAUGGCGAAGGCAGCCAUCUGGCCUAAUACUGACGCUGAGGUACGAAAGCAUGGGGAGCAAACAGGAUUAGAUACCCUGGUAGUCCAUGCCGUAAACGAUGUCUACUAGCCGUUGGGGCCUUUGAGGCUUUAGUGGCGCAGCUAACGCGAUAAGUAGACCGCCUGGGGAGUACGGUCGCAAGACUAAAACUCAAAUGAAUUGACGGGGGCCCGCACAAGCGGUGGAGCAUGUGGUUUAAUUCGAUGCAACGCGAAGAACCUUACCUGGCCUUGACAUACUAGAAACUUUCCAGAGAUGGAUUGGUGCCUUCGGGAAUCUAGAUACAGGUGCUGCAUGGCUGUCGUCAGCUCGUGUCGUGAGAUGUUGGGUUAAGUCCCGCAACGAGCGCAACCCUUUUCCUUACUUGCCAGCAUUUCGGAUGGGAACUUUAAGGAUACUGCCAGUGACAAACUGGAGGAAGGCGGGGACAACGUCAAGUCAUCAUGGCCCUUACGGCCAG
This 1177-nucleotide ribosomal RNA is filed under the name uncultured Acinetobacter sp. RNAcentral's name for it is "bacterial SSU rRNA". It matches the Rfam family "Bacterial small subunit ribosomal RNA", at positions 36 to 1211 of the family's 1533-position model. Lineage: Bacteria; Pseudomonadati; Pseudomonadota; Gammaproteobacteria; Moraxellales; Moraxellaceae. The record is from RNAcentral.